AGAACGAACGCUGGCGGCAUGCCUAACACAUGCAAGUCGAACGCGUGUAGCGAUACACGAGUGGCGGACGGGUGAGUAACGCGUGGGAACCUGCCCUGGAGUGUGGGAUAACCGAGGGAAACUUCGGCUAAUACCGCAUACGACCUGAGGGUGAAAGAUUUAUCGCUCUAGGAGGGGCCCGCGUCGGAUUAGCUAGUUGGUGGGUAAAGGCCUACCAAGGCAGUGAUCCGUAGCUGGUCUGAGAGGAUGAUCAGCCACACUGGGACUGAGACACGGCCCAGACUCCUACGGGAGGCAGCAGUGGGGAAUAUUGGACAAUGGGGGCAACCCUGAUCCAGCAAUGCCGCGUGAGUGAUGAAGGCCUUAGGGUUGUAAAGCUCUUUCGCGCGCGACGAUGAUGACGGUAGCGCGAGAAGAAGCCCCGGCUAACUUCGUGCCAGCAGCCGC
RNAcentral lists this ribosomal RNA (447 nucleotides) under uncultured bacterium. RNAcentral's name for it is "SSU rRNA". It matches the Rfam family "Bacterial small subunit ribosomal RNA", at positions 26 to 518 of the family's 1533-position model. The record is from RNAcentral.